UUUUUUAAUAAUAUAGAUGUGUAAAAAAAAUAAAUCAAAAAGGAUAAAAAGAAGAAGAACCGGUGUUAAAUGAAGGCGCUUUAGAAUUGGUAAGAACCGGUACGUGGCAAGUUUCUACUGGACAUCUCAUUAAUGGCUCUCUCUCUUUGUCGGGGUAUUGGACCGAAAAUCAUUCUUUCUCUUCCUCCUCCAUCUCGAUCUCUCUCUCGAUUCUGCUCUGGCGAUCCUGCUCUCAAUCUUCGUCGGGGUUAUGAUUGAUGUUACAAAGGCGAUCCUCGAUCGAUCACUUCAUCUUCUCUCUCUGGGUUGAAAGAUGAUUCUUUUUUGUUACACCGAGAAGCCUCAAAAAAAGAAGAAAAGAUAGAGACAGAGAAGAAGUCGAAGAUGGAUUGAAAGACGAAGCAGAAGAUCAUAUCGGGUCUGUAAACAUUUCUCCUUCGACCAUGAAUGAUCUCGAGAAGGUGUAUCCGUGGAGACAAAGGUUCUCGUGGAGACGUUUCUACCCUCCCAACACUUGUGGUACUACUUAGAGCGACACUAGAAGGUGGAUCCAAUGUUACAUAAGAAGACAGCAGAGUGUAAUAUGGUCUUAGAUGAAAGCAAGACAUGUGACAGAAGAAGAUAAAAAGAAACACUUGUUGGUACGUUGGUCUCGAUUUUGUGUUUCCAUGUGAAGAAGAAGAAGACAAACAUAAACUUGCAAGUUGUAUUCAUAAACAUGCUCACGCUUUCUCUUUAUAAACGAGUGUAAAAGAACAAGUUGUAUUUAUAAACAUUGUCAUCUCUCUCUUUAAACAUUUCCAUUUCUCUCUUUGUAAACGAGUGUAAAAGAACAAUUUCUAUUUUGUUUUUGCCUUACCAUUUGUCUUGUUUUUGCUUUACCAUUUUUUUAUAAACGAGUGUAAAAGAACAAUUUCUCCUUUGUUUUUCUCAAUUGUUUUGGUUUUUUUCUCAUCAGCAAUUGAAAAAUGAUUUGGUUGAGAAUAUAUGGCAAAAGUUUGGAACAAAUCAAGAUUUCAACUAAUCGGUUGUUUCUCGUUUACGAUUUGUAUUUGUAUCUUUAAUAUGUUUUUAUGUAAUUUGUAUUUCAAUUUUUAUGUAUGUUUUUCUUUAAUGUUAUGAUAUCUAAUCUUUCAAACUUAAAAAAAAAAAAGAAAAAAUUAAGAACCUCGACGAUGUUCUCGCAUUGGAUGCUCCAAAAAUUAAUUAGACCAAAAGAGGUUCUAAACUAAUCAAAUCACAAGAUGACUAAUUUAUUCAUUAGAACCCUAAAGGGUCUCAAACCAAUGGAGGUGGUCUAAAGAUAAAUACUUUGAAACCCAUGUUUUGAAAAUAUAAUUGAUGGCGAUGACGAUGGCGACUGCGACUGCGACGAUUGCGAUCUAGUUUUUUUGAUGGGUCUUCAAGAUGGAGAGGAACAGCACUGGGUAGAUCAUCAUCAGAAUAGUGUAAUCGAAUCGAUUUGGAAGCGGAAGGAAGAUUCGGGACACAGAUCUUAAAAGGAUAUUUGGGCAAAGAGGAAAGUAGGGGUUGGAAGAGGGGAGGGAAUCAAUGGGAUUUCAUAUCGAACAAUCUCAGGAUUACGGAGGAGAUAUUCUCACAAUGGCUCCAAGAUUUGGCGGGGACAGAUGGACAAGCGAGUUGUGGUUUCAACACUCUCUCCGCACUAAAGUACAGUUCUGUUCUUGGCUUGUCUCUCUUGUUGGUCUUAAUGGCUCGGAGCCAGCUUAUUGGUAAGGUUGGAAACAUCAAGUCCGGUGAAGGAGCUCACAAACGUUUGAAGAUUGCAGUUCAACACUUCCUGGGGUCUGUCGUUUCUGGUUAUUGUCUCUUUCUUAUUUUCAUAACUCUAUGAGCAUUUUUAUCUGUUUUAUUUCAGUUGGUUAUUUGCUUCAAAGUGUAUUUUUUUAUGGUGGCUAGAUCUUUAUAUAAGAUUAUGCUAUGGAAUAAAAUUGAAUUUUGUUGGUA
Molecule: long non-coding RNA, 1968 nt
Organism: Brassica napus (rape)
Lineage: Eukaryota; Viridiplantae; Streptophyta; Magnoliopsida; Brassicales; Brassicaceae
Exons: 4
Source: RefSeq, a predicted model, not a curated record